RNAcentral lists this non-coding RNA (162 nucleotides) under unclassified sequences. RNAcentral describes it as "FuFi-1 RNA". It matches the Rfam family "FuFi-1 RNA". The record is from Rfam by way of RNAcentral.
CCCCCUUGCGAUGGGGUGAAUGGCAGAACGCAAACUGCCUAAGAAGUGGGAGCGCGUAAAGAAGCGCAGGUCCGGCUGCGCCCGCGAAGUACUGCGGUGCAGCGGCCAAUGGUACAAAAAUUGCGGCAAAGGCGUCGGGACCGGUACUCCCGGCGCUUUUGU